CUGCAGGGAUGACUCUCUUAGGACACCUUUGGAUUCAAGAUGAAAAUACUCUGUUGAAACUGAGCAGC
Molecule: small nucleolar RNA, 68 nt
Organism: Seriola dumerili (greater amberjack)
Lineage: Eukaryota; Metazoa; Chordata; Actinopteri; Carangiformes; Carangidae
Gene: SNORD58
Rfam family: Small nucleolar RNA SNORD58
About the family: snoRNA U58 is found in introns 1, 3 and 6 of the ribosomal protein RPL17 gene in humans. U58 is a member of the C/D class of snoRNA which contain C (UGAUGA) and D (CUGA) box motifs.
Source: Ensembl